GGCGUGCCAAUACAUGCAAGUCGAGCGGACAGAAGGGAGCUUGCUCCCGGAUGUUAGCGGCGGACGGGUGAGUAACACGUGGGUAACCUGCCUGUAAGACUGGGAUAACUCCGGGAAACCGGAGCUAAUACCGGAUAGUUCCUUGAACCGCAUGGUUCAAGGAUGAAAGACGGUUUCGGCUGUCACUUACAGAUGGACCCGCGGCGCAUUAGCUAGUUGGUGAGGUAACGGCUCACCAAGGCGACGAUGCGUAGCCGACCUGAGAGGGUGAUCGGCCACACUGGGACUGAGACACGGCCCAGACUCCUACGGGAGGCAGCAGUAGGGAAUCUUCCGCAAAUGGACGAAAGUCUGACGGAGCAACGCCGCGUGAGUGAUGAAGGUUUUCGGAUCGUAAAGCUCUGUUGUUAGGGAAGAACAAGUGCAAGAGUAACUGCUUGCACCUUGACGGUACCUAACCAGAAAGCCACGGCUAACUACGUGCCAGCAGCCGCGGUAAUACGUAGGUGGCAAGCGUUGUCCGGAAUUAUUGGGCGUAAAGGGCUCGCAGGCGGUUUCUUAAGUCUGAUGUGAAAGCCCCCGGCUCAACCGGGGGAGGGUCAUUGGAAACUGGGAAACUUGAGUGCAGAAGAGGAGAGUGGAAUUCCACGUGUAGCGGUGAAAUGCGUAGAGAUGUGGAGGAACACCAGUGGCGAAGGCGACUCUCUGGUCUGUAACUGACGCUGAGGAGCGAAAGCGUGGGGGAGCGAA
This 750-nucleotide ribosomal RNA is filed under the name Bacillus pumilus. RNAcentral's name for it is "bacterial SSU rRNA". It matches the Rfam family "Bacterial small subunit ribosomal RNA", at positions 41 to 772 of the family's 1533-position model. Lineage: Bacteria; Bacillati; Bacillota; Bacilli; Caryophanales; Bacillaceae. The record is from RNAcentral.